Molecule: long non-coding RNA, 808 nt
Filed under: Sorghum bicolor (sorghum)
Lineage: Eukaryota; Viridiplantae; Streptophyta; Magnoliopsida; Poales; Poaceae
Source: RNAcentral
GGAUGCGAUCAUACCAGCACUAAAGCACCGGAUCCCAUCAGAACUCCGAAGUUAAGCGUGCUUGGGCGAGAGUAGUACUAGGAUGGGUGACCUCCUGGGAAGUCCUCGUGUUGCAUUCCUUUUUUUUGUUUGUUUUUUCAAAAGAAAGGUCUUUCUUUUUAUUUUUGGCCGUUCCUUUGUCAUAUUUUCUCCGCGUUCCUAGGCGGCGCCGUCGAAGGAGCUAUGGGCAGGCCGUACACGGAGGCGCGGGCAUAAAGGGGAGGAGAACGCACGGUAUGUCGGAUGCGAUCAUACCAGCACUAAAGCACCGGAUCCCAUCAGAACUCCGAAGUUAAGCGUGCUUGGGCGAGAGUAGUACUAGGAUGGGUGACCUCCUGGAAAGUCCUCGUGUUGCAUUCCUUUUUUUUGUUUGUUUUUUCAAAAGAAAGGUCUUUCUUUUUAUUUUUGGCCGUUCCUUUGUCAUAUUUUCUCCGCGUUCCUAGGCGGCGCCGUCGAAGGAGCUAUGGGCGGGCCGUACACGGAGGCGCGGGCAUAAAGGGGAGGAGAACGCACGGUAUGUCGGAUGCGAUCAUACCAGCACUAAAGCACCGGAUCCCAUCAGAACUCCGAAGUUAAGCGUGCUUGGGCGAGAGUAGUACUAGGAUGGGUGACCUCCUGGGAAGUCCUCGUGUUGCAUUCCUUUUAUUUGUUUGUUUUUUCAAAAGAAAGGUCUUUCUUUUUAUUUUUGGCCGUUCCUUUGUCAUAUUUUCUCCGCGUUCCUAGGCGGCGCCGUCGAAGGAGCUAUGGGCGGGCCGUACACGGAGGCGCG